CUGACCUCAAAUCAGGUAGGACUACCCGCUGAACUUAAGCAUAUCAAUAAGCGGAGGAAAAGAAACUAACAAGGAUUCCCCUAGUAACUGCGAGUGAAGCGGGAAAAGCUCAAAUUUAAAAUCUGGCGGUUUCUGGACUGUCCGAGUUGUAAUCUAGAGAAGUGUUUACCUGUGCUGGACCGUGUACAAGUCUCCUGGAAUGGAGCAUCAUAGAGGGUGAGAAUCCCGUCUUUGACACGGACUACCUGUACAUUACGGGUGCGCUCUCAAAGAGUCGAGUUGUUUGGGAAUGCAGCUCAAAAUGGGUGGUAAAUGCCAUCUAAAGCUAAAUAUUGGCGAGAGACCGAUAGCGAACAAGUACCGUGAGGGAAAGAUGAAAAGAACUUUGGAAAGAGAGUUAAACAGUACGUGAAAUUGCUGAAAGGGAAACGCUUGAAGUCAGUCGCGUUGGCUGGAAAUCAACCUUGCUUUUGCUUGGUGUAUUUUCUGGUCCGACGGGUCAGCAUCAAUUUUGACCAUUGGAUAAAGUCUUUUGGGAAUGUGGCAUCUUUUGGAUGUGUUAUAGCCCAUGGUCGCAUACAGUGGUUGGGAUUGAGGAACUCAGCACGCCGCAAGGCCGGGUUUCGACCACGUUUCCGUGCUUAGGAUGCUGGCAUAAUGGCUUUAAUCGACCCGUC
RNAcentral lists this ribosomal RNA (677 nucleotides) under Inocybe chelanensis. RNAcentral's name for it is "eukaryotic LSU rRNA". It matches the Rfam family "Eukaryotic large subunit ribosomal RNA", at positions 1 to 653 of the family's 3401-position model. The record is from RNAcentral. Lineage: Eukaryota; Fungi; Basidiomycota; Agaricomycetes; Agaricales; Inocybaceae.